This 492-nucleotide ribosomal RNA is filed under the name Triticum aestivum (bread wheat). RNAcentral describes it as "partial small subunit ribosomal RNA". Lineage: Eukaryota; Viridiplantae; Streptophyta; Magnoliopsida; Poales; Poaceae. The record is from RNAcentral.
AUGAACAUCUUAGCCUGGAACUGUCGAGGACUGGGGUUGGACUCAACGGUUGGCGAAUUACGAGACCUGGUUAGGUCCUACAACCCAGCGGUGGUGUUCUUAUGUGAAACAGAGAAAAACGCGAGAGCGAUGGACAGGCUUAAAUGGAGUUUGGGAUUUAGAAAUGGGGUGGCUGUGGACUGCAAUGGAAGGGGUGGGGGCUUGGCCCUGUGGUGGAGAGACCAUGUUCAGGCUACUGUUAGGCCAUGGAGCCAAUAUUUCAUUGAUGCUGAGAUUGUGUGUGACGGCAAGACCUCUAGGAUCACUGGAUUUUAUGUGGAGCCAAACACAGAGCGAUGGAAGAAAUCUUGGGAGGCAAUACGGUAUCUGCGAGGACAGGAUGAUCUACCUUGGAUUUGUGUAGGUGAUUAUAAUGAAGCGUUAUUCCAGACCGACCAGAUUGAGGGUAACCAGAGGUGCUUCUCCGGAUGGAGGAUUUCAGAGACUGCCUAG